Molecule: long non-coding RNA, 389 nt
Organism: Piliocolobus tephrosceles (Ugandan red Colobus)
Lineage: Eukaryota; Metazoa; Chordata; Mammalia; Primates; Cercopithecidae
Exons: 3
Source: RefSeq, a predicted model, not a curated record
GAGUUCCCACAGCCGGAGAGUCAGUAACCCGCCAGUGCUCCCCACAGGCCUGGGAUGGGCCCAGACCUCUGGCCAGCAUGUCCUGGAAAAUGAGAUGAAUGAAUCUAAUGCAGUCUAGAAGAGGAGCAAGAGGGAGUUCAGUUCGACCCGAAGAGGCACCUUCCCAAGGCCAGCAGAGAGCACCACAAGCCAUUAAAGGAGCCUGUCCUGGCUGUCCUUAUGAGGCAGCACCUGUCCUGAAGGCACGUCCCCCAGAUACUCACAUGGCUCUUGACAGAGAGGAUCUGGGACCGCAGCUUCUGGAUGCGUACAUUGAGGUCCGCGAUCUCGCUGCGGCUGCUCUGGAGGCUGCUCCCAUACUCGGCUGAGCGGGCGACCUGCUCCUCCAG